Molecule: transfer RNA, 29 nt
Filed under: Geum schofieldii
Lineage: Eukaryota; Viridiplantae; Streptophyta; Magnoliopsida; Rosales; Rosaceae
Description: partial transfer RNA-leu (UAA)
Source: RNAcentral
AAAAUCCGUCGACUUUAGAAAUCGAGAGG